RNAcentral lists this ribosomal RNA (468 nucleotides) under uncultured bacterium. Its description in RNAcentral is "partial 16S ribosomal RNA". It matches the Rfam family "Bacterial small subunit ribosomal RNA", at positions 28 to 507 of the family's 1533-position model. The record is from RNAcentral.
GACGAACGCUGGCGGCGUGCUUAACACAUGCAAGUCGAACGGAAAGGCCCUGCAUUUGUGGGGUGCUCGAGUGGCGAACGGGUGAGUAACAAGUGAGUAACCUGCCCUUGACUUUGGGAUAACUUCAGGAAACUGGGGCUAAUACCGGAUAGGAGCUCCUGCUGCAUGGUGGGGGUUGGAAAGUUUCGGCGGUUGGGGAUGGAUUCGCGGCUUAUCAGCUUGUUGGUGGGGUAGUGGCUUACCCAGGCUUUGACGGGUAGCCGGCCUGAGAGGGUGACCGGCCACAUUGGGACUGAGAGACGGCCCAGACUCCUACGGGAGGCAGCAGGGGGGAAUAUUGCACAAUGGGCGGAAGCCUGAGGCAGCAACGCCGCGUGCGGGAUGACGGCCUUCGGGGUGUAAACCGCUUUCGCCUGUGACGAAGCGUGAGUGACGGUAAUGGGUAAAGAAGCACCGGCUAACUACGUG